GCAUUGAUGGUUCAGAGGUGGAAUUCUUGCCUUCUGUGCAAGAGACCUGGUUUCGAUUCCUGGCCAGUGCA
RNAcentral lists this transfer RNA (71 nucleotides) under Loxodonta africana (African savanna elephant). It matches the Rfam family "tRNA". From Rfam's summary of the family: Transfer RNA (tRNA) molecules are approximately 80 nucleotides in length. Their secondary structure includes four short double-helical elements and three loops (D, anti-codon, and T loops). Further hydrogen bonds mediate the characteristic L-shaped molecular structure. tRNAs have two regions of fundamental functional importance: the anti-codon, which is responsible for specific mRNA codon recognition, and the 3' end, to which the tRNAs corresponding amino acid is attached (by aminoacyl-tRNA synthetases). tRNAs cope with the degeneracy of the genetic code in two manners: having more than one tRNA (with a specific anti-codon) for a particular amino acid; and 'wobble' base-pairing, i.e. permitting non-standard base-pairing at the 3rd anti-codon position. The record is from Rfam by way of RNAcentral. Lineage: Eukaryota; Metazoa; Chordata; Mammalia; Proboscidea; Elephantidae.